RNAcentral lists this small RNA (148 nucleotides) under Macaca mulatta (Rhesus monkey). RNAcentral describes it as "Metazoan signal recognition particle RNA (ENSMMUG00000060625.1)". The record is from Rfam by way of RNAcentral. Lineage: Eukaryota; Metazoa; Chordata; Mammalia; Primates; Cercopithecidae.
GCCAGGCAUGGUGGCCCAUGCCUGUAAUCCCAGCUACUCAGGAGGCUGAGACAGGAGAAUCACUUGAAUCCAGGAGGUGGAGGUUGCAGUGAGCCAACAUCAUGCCAUUGCACUCCAGCCUGGGUGACAGAGUGAGACUCCGUCUCAC